Molecule: non-coding RNA, 512 nt
Filed under: Cephalotus follicularis
Lineage: Eukaryota; Viridiplantae; Streptophyta; Magnoliopsida; Oxalidales; Cephalotaceae
Description: Eukaryotic small subunit ribosomal RNA
Rfam family: Eukaryotic small subunit ribosomal RNA
Source: Rfam by way of RNAcentral
CCGGUUGAUCCUGCCAGUAGUCGUAUGCUUGUCUCAAAGAUUAAGCCAUGCAUGUGUAAUUAUGAACUAUUUUAGACUGUGAAACUGCGAAUGGCUCAUUAAAUCAGUUAUAGUUUGUUUGAUGGUAUCUGCUACUCGGAUAACCGUAGUAAUUCUAGAGAAAAUACGUGCAACCAACCCCGACUUCUGGAAGGGAUGCAUUUAUUAGAUAAAACGUCGAUGCGGGCUCUGCUAAUUGCUUCGAUGGUUCAUGAUAACUCGAUGGAUCGUAUGACCAUCGCGCCGGCAACGCAUCAUUCAAAAUUUUUCCCAAUCAACUUUGGAUGGUAGGAUAGUAGCCUACCAUGGUGGUGACGGGUGAUGGAGAAUUAGGGUUCGAUUCAAGAGAGGGAGCAUGAGAAACAACUACCACAUCCGAGGAAGGCAACAGGCGCGCAAAUUACCCAAUCCUGACACGGGGAGGUUGUUCAUGAAUUUUGAAUGUUUUAAAAUUUAUACCGCAAGUGCAUAGU